RNAcentral lists this ribosomal RNA (1343 nucleotides) under uncultured bacterium. RNAcentral describes it as "partial 16S ribosomal RNA". It matches the Rfam family "Bacterial small subunit ribosomal RNA", at positions 1 to 1354 of the family's 1533-position model. The record is from RNAcentral.
UUAGAGUUUGAUCCUGGCUCAGGAUGAACGCUAGCUACAGGCUUAACACAUGCAAGUCGAGCGGUAUGUGCUUUAGUGCAUACAGCGGCAGACGGGUGAGUAACACGUAUCUAACCUUCCCCUUACUUGGGCAUAGCCUCUGGAAACGGAGAUUAAUUUCCGAUGUGGUGUACAUUUCGCAUGUUUUGCGCACCAAAGAUUUAUCGGUAAGGGAUGGGGAUGCGCUCCAUUAGGUUGUAGGUAGGGUAAUGGCCUACCUAGCCUAUGAUGGAUAGGGGUUCUGAGAGGAAAGUCCCCCACAUUGGAACUGCGACACGGUCCAAACUCCUACGGGAGGCAGCAGUGAGGAAUAUUGGUCAAUGGCCGAAAGGCUGAACCAGCCAAGUAGCGUGCAGGAUGACUGCCUUAUGGGUUGUAAACUGCUUUUUUACGGGAAUAAUUAUGAUCACGUGUGAUUAUUUGCAUGUACCGUAAGAAUAAGGAUCGGCUAACUCCGUGCCAGCAGCCGCGGUAAUACGGAGGAUCCUAGUGUUAUCCGGAAUUAUUGGGUUUAAAGGGUGCGUAGGCGGGAUGAUAAGUCAGCGGUGAAAGUUUUCGGCUCAACCGGAAAAUUGCCGUUGAAACUGUUGUUCUUGAGUGCAGAAGAGGUAGGCGGAAUUCGUUGUGUAGCGGUGAAAUGCGUAGAUAUAACGAAGAACUCCGACUGCGUAGGCAGCUUACCAUGUUGCAACUGACGCUGAGGCACGAAAGUGUGGGUAUCAAACAGGAUUAGAUACCCUGGUAGUCCACGCCGUAAACGAUGAUUACUGGGUGUAGGGGGUAUCGACUCCCUCUGUGCCGAAGCUAACGCGAUAAGUAAUCCACCUGGGGAGUACGGCCGCAAGGCUAAAACUCAAAGGAAUUGACGGGGGCCCGCACAAGCAGUGGAGUAUGUGGUUUAAUUUGAGGCAACGCGAAGAACCUUACCAGGGUUUGACAUCCCGCGCUAUAGGCAGAGAUGCUUAGUUCCCUUCGGGGACGCGGAGACAGGUGAUGCAUGGUUGUCGUCAGCUCGUGUCGUGAGAUGUUCGGUUAAGUCCGGCAACGAGCGCAACCCUCGUGGCCAGUUGCCAUCAUUUAGUUGGGCACUUUGGCCAGACUGCCGUUGACAAAACGGAGGAAGGUGGGGAGGACGUCAAAUCAUCAUGCCCCUUAUGUCUUGGGCUACACACGUACUACAAUGGGCGGUACAACGGGCAGCCACACCGCGAGGUGGAGGGAAUCCCCAAAGGCGUCCCCAGUUCGGAUUGCAGGCUGAAACUCGCCUGCAUGAAGCCGGAAUUGCUAGUAAUGGCAGGUCAGCA